GUGGAAACAAACAUGUCUAUUCCAGGGAGAUCAGAGCGACCUGUGGGAUUAGAGGGUGAUGGCAUUUCAAACUUGUCGCGAAGAACAUCAAGGUCAGUGGAGCGAUUGACAGGGUUAAGCUUGGGAAUUUGAUCCAAUAUCCAGGAGAAGGCAAACCAUAUUUCACACACCACUGACAUAAGCCACAACCAUCUUGCAUCUUCAUUUGGAUUGUUAACUCUCCAAUUCAAGAAGAAUCCCAGAAUCACCAAUCGAACCGCGAUCAAUAACCUGCACAGUUAUCAUCUUCAUUUCAACAUUAUGGAGCAGAAAAG
RNAcentral lists this unclassified non-coding RNA (314 nucleotides) under Hevea brasiliensis (rubber tree). The record is from RNAcentral. Lineage: Eukaryota; Viridiplantae; Streptophyta; Magnoliopsida; Malpighiales; Euphorbiaceae.